This is a long non-coding RNA of Siniperca chuatsi (mandarin fish), 3074 nucleotides long. RefSeq lists it as uncharacterized. The record is from RefSeq and is a predicted model, not a curated record. Lineage: Eukaryota; Metazoa; Chordata; Actinopteri; Centrarchiformes; Sinipercidae. The transcript has 2 exons.
AAUACUUACGUACUUUUCCUUAAGUAUUACUUAAGUAAAGGAUCUGAAUACUACAACAAAGAAAUAAUAAUGAUAUGAUAUUAUGAGGGAGAAAGAAAAUAAAAAACAAGCUAUUAUGUGGUUGACGUUCAUGUUAUCCAACAAGAAUAAGCAUGAUUUGACAUGCUAUCUCUAGACUGAAAACUAUCUGUGAGCUUUCACUGUAACUGAUGACACUCGCAUUUUUGGGGCUGCCUUUAUGGGUUUGGCUAUCGGGUUAGACACAAAUCUACAGUAUGGUGUUCACACGCUUAGCCUCGCCAAACACUUGAAAGAUACAAUUACACCCACACAAAUUGACGGAGUCGUUCGCUUUAUGCAAUAUCAAAAUACAAGGAAAAACAAAUUCAGAAACUUGAGGGUUUUCAUGACAAUAUUAACCAGCACUAUUUCAUGACAUGGAAUCACAGAUUACACUGGGUGUGUGUGUGCGUGUGUGCAUACUUUCUCAGUAUUUCUUAAAUGACUAAGAGUUUGAAAAGGAAGCUGCCUGCCUGGUCAUCCAAACAGUGGAAACAAUGUUUGUGCGACCGCAGCGCUCCCCCCACCCACCCAUUAAAAUUCACUCCUUCCAAUCCCUACACUCGAAACUUAACUGCAACAAUAAUGAGGACGGAUUUCUGUCUUGUUUCUCGGCUACAUUUUUUAUUUCUGCUGAAGCUCCCCGCUCGCCGGCCAUCAUUUCACCUCCCUUUUCACCCCACAUUUUUAAGCUGCUUCCUUUUUUUAUCUCCAUUUUCCUCUCCGUUUCUCUCACAUUCCCUCCACAUCCCUCCAUCUCUGCUGGUACUGCUGACUCGUCUCUCCUGGGAUUGUGCCUGCUUUGAUUUGGAGCUCAGGUCGGAGCUCAGAAACCAUAGCUAAAACAAACACACUGCCUUGGCCACCUCUGCACACACACACACACACACACACACACACACACACACACACAACUAGCAUUGAUUACUCCUGUCUGCCAGAGGUAAGAAUAAAACCUAAAUGUGAGUGUGUGUGUGUGUGUGGGUGUGAGUGUGGGUGUGUGAAACGAAGAAGGUGAAGGAGGCAAGCUUUGACUACUUAUGUCGCAACUGUGAAUCACACGGACACCUCCUCCUCUACACACACACACACAACCUCUUUUGCUCUGGUUCUGAUUUACCAGUAGUAUGUCACCCUUCACCAGCACCAGCACCAGCCCCCCACUCCGUGUGUGUGUGUGUGUGUGUGUGUGUGUGUGUGUAUGUUGGGAAGGCUGCAGAGCUGCAUAAAGGGCUCUUUAUUCGAGUUGGACAGGGAGAGGAAAUCAGCUUUAGAAGUAAAAACAGAGGGAGCAAGAGAGAGAUGGAGACCACAGGGCUGCACAUCUGGAGUUAUUACAAGGCUUCCUCCUGCUUGCCAAGAAAACGCCGACAUUCCUGCCCUUGCUACAAAGACCAUGGAGCCUCUACUCUCCUCCAGCCCCACUCCUACACACACAUCCAUCACACCAAAAACACAUAUACUCUCACAUGUACCAUAAGUAGAGAUGUGCACAUAGACUAGAUAGAAGGGAAGGACAUGCAGACGCUUUACGAAACACUUAUGCCUCCACGUGAGCACACAAACGCAGACAUCCUCCCAUCUGCCCACAUACGCUUCCACUAAAAAGUUCCCUCCCUCUGCAGCCAAUCCUUCACUCCCUUUCCAAACUUUACAACACACACGCCAAAUGAAUGUGUCUCACUUCCUGUUCACCUUUGACCUUCCACUUUCUCCCCAAAAGCCAGAGAAGACAGAAAGAACAGAGGGGGGAAAAAGCCAGACAGAGGGAGGGGAGAGAGGAAGAAGAGAGGAGAGGAAAAAUGGGGGGCCAUCGAGCUCCUCCUCCUUCUCUCUCCAUAUCUCCUCUCUCUCUCGUUCCUUUUUCUCCUUCUGUCUCUUGAAGGGGAAACUUGAUGGCCAGUCCUUUGCCACGUCGAGCCUCCAGCCGGUCCACCUUGCUUGCCACCGGGGCGUUUUUUUUUUUUGCUCCGGGAAGUUUCGGUAGACAAAUCCAAACGACGCAGAAGUAGCGUUUGAACACGAUCAGCCUGAUUUUGCCUCAACAGUGCGGCAGUGUUGAAUGAAAGGAUGUCGGGAAAUGAAUUGGGGCUAACCAGUCAAGAAGGAGACAAAACAAAUAUCAGCCAAGAAGAAGAGAAGCAGCAAGACAGCAAGAUAUGUAGAUGAGAAGGGCGAUUGUCAAGUUACAGAGUUCAGUCUGGAAUGCUGCUUCUCACAGCAGGAAACAGGAGGGCAAACAGGAGGGAAUGUCAUUGAAUCUGCCAAUCAGUGGCUAUCACAUCUGUUUAACCUCUCCUCCUCGUCCUCCUCCUCCUUCACCUCUCUGCCGGCCCCUUCAUCCAUCCCACACACGCUGUUUCUCCUCCAGCCCGCACAAUCAGCCUGAUCAGCACUUUGUAGCAGUCAGACUAUGAGAGCAGAAGGAGCUGGACUCUGAUACUGGAAUCACAGUGAGUAUAAUUUAGUUAGUUUAGAGUGUGUGUGAAUGAAUCUGAUAGCAUCUUCAUACUGAAAGCGUGAGCUUCUCUGUGGUGGCAUCAGUAAAACCUUCUCCACAGCAUCCUUCAGCCGCCCAGCCCGCCUGCCCAGUGUUCAGACUACCUGUUCAGGAAGUAGUGGUUGUACAGUAGUCUGCACAUUGGUUAGGCUGGCCGGGGAAGCACGGGACAACUCACAGUGUCUGAAAGUGGAACAAGAAAGAGCUCCAGAGGGCAUCCAUCAGGCACAAGCAAAUCAGGCUGUGGGAACACCCAGCACCACCCUUCGUCCAUCUGGACAAGCCCGGGCACAAGCCUAAAUAAAGCACCCAAAGGCUCCACCACAGAGGCCUGGCCCUUGCCUAUCUUGGAUUUAUGAGUGAUGGAUACAUAAGGUCAAACAUUUUUUUUGCUGUAUAUAGUUUUUUGCAUUGUUUGAUUUGUCAAUGAACCAAGAGUGAAAUCUGAUGAAGAUAAAACUGUUAAAUUUGUUUGAAAUACUUGAAAUAAAGAUGCUUAGAUAUCUACUAUUGA